This 634-nucleotide long non-coding RNA is filed under the name Manihot esculenta (cassava). Its description in RNAcentral is "long non-coding RNA (MESC_LNC001831)". Lineage: Eukaryota; Viridiplantae; Streptophyta; Magnoliopsida; Malpighiales; Euphorbiaceae. The record is from RNAcentral.
GCAGUAAAAAAUUGUUAACUAUUGCCUGAAAGCUGUAAGAUGUUAAGUUUGUGUUACUCAGCAGGUGACUUAUGAAAGAUUUUCUCUUGAGAAAACAUUUCCUACCCACUUGCAUAAAGUCUUAGCAAUAGAAUCAGUUACAACAACAGACUUGAUGAUUAUUUCACAGGGUUCUCUCUAUUCCUUGCAAUGAUGACAGAGGCUACACCAUUACAUCAAACAACUUUAUCUGGUAAAGGAGAAGCUGCAAGGGCUGAACAAAUUAAAACAGGAUUGUGGAAGCAAAAAAAAGUAGGACAAUGGAGGAGAAUGUUGGGACAAAAAGUUAAAAGAUACGGAAAAUGUCUCAAAAAGAAACCGCAAGGUCUCCAUUGCAUGCAUUUCUUUUGCAUUGUCUUUUAUUAUGCCCUCCACAAUUGAACUGCUAGCCCAACAGCUCCAUUUCAAUGAUCCAAAUUGUGUAAUAGUCCAGAGAAGAUGUCACCUGAACAUAUCGAGCAUCAACGCGUGUCGCUGGAACCCCGUGCAUGGUUUGGCCGCGGGGUUCAGCAGACCCGUGUAACACCAUGUUCAUGUCAAAAUAUGAAACAAAAUGCCAGUCCUGGAAGGUUACCUGAAUUGGAACUUGUAUAAG